AUUGAACGCUGGCGGCAGGCCUAACACAUGCAAGUCGAACGGUAGCACAGAGAGCUUGCUCUCGGGUGACGAGUGGCGGACGGGUGAGUAAUGUCUGGGAAACUGCCCGAUGGAGGGGGAUAACUACUGGAAACGGUAGCUAAUACCGCAUAACGUCGCAAGACCUAAGUGGGGGACCUUCGGGCCUCACACCAUCGGAUGUGCCCAGAUGGGAUUAGCUAGUAGGUGGGGUAAUGGCUACCCUAGGCGACGAUCCCUAGCUGGUCUGAGAGGAUGACCAGCCACACUGGAACUGAGACACGGUCCAGACUCCUACGGGAGGCAGCAGUGGGGAAUAUUGCACAAUGGGCGCAAGCCUGAUGCAGCCAUGCCGCGUGUAUGAAGAAGGCCUUCGGGUUGUAAAGUACUUUCAGCGGGGAGGAAGGCGGUGAAGUUAAUAGCUUCACCGAUUGACGUUACCCGCAGAAGAAGCACCGGCUAACUCCGUGCCAGCCGCCGCCGUAA
This 504-nucleotide ribosomal RNA is filed under the name uncultured bacterium. Its description in RNAcentral is "partial 16S ribosomal RNA". It matches the Rfam family "Bacterial small subunit ribosomal RNA", at positions 30 to 523 of the family's 1533-position model. The record is from RNAcentral.